Molecule: long non-coding RNA, 352 nt
Filed under: Castor canadensis (American beaver)
Lineage: Eukaryota; Metazoa; Chordata; Mammalia; Rodentia; Castoridae
Description: lncRNA (ENSCCNG00000003129.1)
Source: RNAcentral
CUUUCUGAUGCUGGUGUUCUUAGGUCAUCUGGCAGCCUCUAGGUUCAGGAAAUGGAAAGGAUGGCCUGUCAUGCUCCAUGUUUCUCUCAGUCCCCACUUCUAUGGCCAUACCAGAGAUGACUUUGCAGUAUGCAGCUUAGUAUGCAUCCAGCACAGACUUUUCUCCAGGUGUGUGAGUUAACGAUGAAUGCUUCAGCACUUCCCUGGCCAUGCAUAAACAUCUACAUGCAAAACAGCAAGGAGCGCUCUGUUUAUCACAGCUGCAGUCAAGCCAACGAAACUGUUUCUACCAUUGAAGAUGAAAUUGUAAAGUUCUAUCUCGAAAAUUAAAAUAAAAUAAACAUCUUAUUCA